UCUUGAUAAUUUGGAAGUGUCACAUUGGCAGGGUACCAUAUUCUACCUACUUUAUUUUGCUUUAGUUAAUGAUAUGCUUCUGCUAAAGCAUUCGUGGCAUGCUGUUACCAUAGUAAUUUUGCAGAAGCAUUUAAUUUUUUUU
This is a long non-coding RNA of Rhodamnia argentea, 142 nucleotides long. RefSeq lists it as uncharacterized. The transcript has 2 exons. NCBI's taxonomy places the organism in Eukaryota, Viridiplantae, Streptophyta, Magnoliopsida, Myrtales, Myrtaceae. The record is from RefSeq and is a predicted model, not a curated record.